UACAGAGGUCCCGAGCGUUAAUCGGAAUUACUGGGCGUAAAGCGUGCGCAGGCGGUGAUGUAAGACAGAUGUGAAAUCCCCGGGCUCAACCUGGGAACUGCAUUUGUGACUGCAUCGCUGGAGUGCGGCAGAGGGGGAUGGAAUUCCGCGUGUAGCAGUGAAAUGCGUAGAUAUGCGGAGGAACACCGAUGGCGAAGGCAAUCCCCUGGGCCUGCACUGACGCUCAUGCACGAAAGCGUGGGGAGCAAACAGG
Molecule: ribosomal RNA, 253 nt
Filed under: uncultured bacterium
Lineage: Bacteria
Description: partial 16S ribosomal RNA
Rfam family: Bacterial small subunit ribosomal RNA
Source: RNAcentral